GGGUGAGUGUGCGAGUUUGGUUGGUGACUCAGGAGCAGCCAGAUAUUUGCCAUCCGCCACCGUAGCUAAGUUGCCAGCACAGCCAGCUGUUAUGCAGAGGACAAUGGUCCAGUUCCCAGCACUGCCAGGGAUUUUUCCUCAGUGGGAUGGCUGGAACAGGAUGCACUCAGCCUCAUGAGGCCAAUUGAGGAGCUCCUUCAUUAAGUAGUGGUGGCUCAUGGCUCUUUCAAAAAAACUCACAUCACCUGGGAGAGCAGUGUGCUGCCACUACAUACCUCCGUACUGCACCCAGUGACACCAUUGACAGAGAAUAGCAUGGCAGUUAGUCACUACCAAAAGUGCUCCCAGGGUGUAUGGAUACAGUUAACAUUUUCACAGGCAAAGCCGUCUUCAGAAAAGAAAAGAAAACCUUGUAAUGUAACGGACUAUUGAAAUUACUAAUACCACCGGCUGGUGAGGUGUGCGGUGCCGUCAAUCAACCUGAAGGAGCAAGUGAACUUUAACUACGUAAAGAUAAAUUGAAAUAUUAUUAUUUUGUUACAAAACUGUUAAUAUGAGGGCAAUCAUGAGGUAUAUUUCCACAGAACUAUAUUGUAAACACUUUUCAUUUUUCAUACUAUGUUUUCAUAUAUGUUUAAGUGUGAUGUGUAAAAUAUCGAUAUACAACCAAGGUUGGCAGUACUGCACAGUUUGUAAGCUCUGUGAACAGGAGCCGGUUGUUGGUGGGUGUAGAGACAAUGGGCAGUUGCCAGUUAGUGUUGAAAGUCUUGUAAUACACAUGCUUUGAGAAGGUCAAGGAUAGAGGGAACGAAAUGAUGUAUUGGAAAAGCUGUUACAUUGUAAAUUAUUAAAUAUCAUUAUGAUCAGCAUUUAUAAAAUAA
Schistocerca americana (American grasshopper) is the source of this 881-nucleotide long non-coding RNA. RefSeq lists it as uncharacterized. Lineage: Eukaryota; Metazoa; Arthropoda; Insecta; Orthoptera; Acrididae. The record is from RefSeq and is a predicted model, not a curated record. The transcript has 3 exons.